Molecule: non-coding RNA, 272 nt
Organism: Cinara cedri
Lineage: Eukaryota; Metazoa; Arthropoda; Insecta; Hemiptera; Aphididae
Source: the annotation of a GenBank genome assembly
UAUUAUAUUAAUCGCAAGUUAUGAUAAUUCAUAGCAGAGUUUUUUUUUAAUGAUAUUUUUUUACAAUAGGUGUUAUUUAUUUCGGGUUAUACCGACAAAUAUUUUAACACGGACUAUUGGUUUGUAGUGUACUAUAUGGAGGUGAGGUUAUUAUAAACAAAUUGCAGAUAAAUCAGAAUUGCGUUAUAAAAAUCUGUUGGAAUAAAUUUUUAUUGCAAGAUAUCCAUGGCAAGACUAUAUGGAAUAAGGUGUUUUUCCGAUAAAGAAUAAGG